This 245-nucleotide ribosomal RNA is filed under the name uncultured bacterium. RNAcentral's name for it is "partial 16S ribosomal RNA". It matches the Rfam family "Bacterial small subunit ribosomal RNA", at positions 524 to 768 of the family's 1533-position model. The record is from RNAcentral.
UACGGAGGGUGCAAGCGUUAAUCGGAAUCACUGGGCGUAAAGCGCGCGUAGGCGGCCGUAUAAGUCAGAUGUGAAAGCCCCGGGCUUAACCUGGGAACUGCAUUUGAUACUGUGCGGCUCGAGUCUGAGAGAGGGGGGUGGAAUUCCAGGUGUAGCGGUGAAAUGCGUAGAGAUCUGGAGGAACACCAGUGGCGAAGGCGGCCCCCUGGUUCAUGACUGACGCUGAGGUGCGAAAGCGUGGGGAG